Molecule: ribosomal RNA, 443 nt
Filed under: uncultured bacterium
Lineage: Bacteria
Description: bacterial SSU rRNA
Rfam family: Bacterial small subunit ribosomal RNA
Source: RNAcentral
GACGAACGCUGGCGGCGUGCUUAACACAUGCAAGUCGAACGGAAAGGCCCUGCCUGCAGGGUACUCGAGUGGCGAACGGGUGAGUAACACGUGGGUGAUCUGCCCUGCACUUCGGGAUAAGCCUGGGAAACUGGGUCUAAUACCGGAUAGGAGCCAUUUUUAGUGUGAUGGUUGGAAAGUUUUUUCGGUGUAGGAUGAGCUCGCGGCCUAUCAGCUUGUUGGUGGGGUAAUGGCCUACCAAGGCGGCGACGGGUAGCCGGCCUGAGAGGGUGGACGGCCACAUUGGGACUGAGAUACGGCCCAGACUCCUACGGGAGGCAGCAGUGGGGAAUAUUGCACGAUGGGCGCAAGCCUGAUGCAGCGACGCCGCUGGGGGAUGACGGCCUGGUGUAACUCUUCGCUAGGACGAAGACGUUUUGUUGACGGUACCGUACGAGUAAGAA